Molecule: ribosomal RNA, 484 nt
Filed under: uncultured bacterium
Lineage: Bacteria
Description: partial 16S ribosomal RNA
Rfam family: Bacterial small subunit ribosomal RNA
Source: RNAcentral
AUUGAACGCUGGCGGCAGGCCUAACACAUGCAAGUCGAGCGGAUGAAGGGAGCUUGCUCCUGGAUUCAGCGGCGGACGGGUGAGUAAUGCCUAGGAAUCUGCCUGGUAGUGGGGGAUAACGUCCGGAAACGGGCGCUAAUACCGCAUACGUCCUGAGGGAGAAAGUGGGGGAUCUUCGGACCUCACGCUAUCAGAUGAGCCUAGGUCGGAUUAGCUAGUUGGUGGGUUAAAGGCCUACCAAGGCGACGAUCCGUAACUGGUCUGAGAGGAUGAUCAGUCACCCUGGAACUGAGACACGGUCCAGACUCCUACGGGAGGCAGCAGUGGGGAAUAUUGGACAAUGGGCGAAAGCCUGAUCCAGCCAUGCCGCGUGUGUGAAGAAGGUCUUCGGAUUGUAAAGCACUCUAAGUUGGGAGGAAGGGCAGUAAGUUAAUACCUUGCUGUUGUGACGUUACCAACAGAAUAAGCACCGGCUAACUUCGUG